Molecule: ribosomal RNA, 468 nt
Filed under: uncultured bacterium
Lineage: Bacteria
Description: partial 16S ribosomal RNA
Rfam family: Bacterial small subunit ribosomal RNA
Source: RNAcentral
GACGAACGCUGGCGGCGUGCUUAACACAUGCAAGUCGAACGGAAAGGCCCUGCUUUUGUGGGGUGCUCGAGUGGCGAAAGGGUGAGUAACACGUGAGUAACCUGCCCUUGACUUUGGGAUAACUUCAGGAAACUGGGGCUAAUACCGGAUAGGAGCUCCUGCUGCAUGGUGGGGGUUGGAAAGUUUCGGCGGUUGGGGAUGGACUCGCGGCUUAUCAGCUUGUUGGUGGGGUAGUGGCUUACCAAGGCUUUGACGGGUAGCCGGCCUGAGAGGGUGACCGGCCACAUUGGGACUGAGAUACGGCCCAGACUCCUCCGGGAGGCAGAAGUGGGGAAUAUUGCACAAUGGGCGGAAGCCUGAUGCAGCAACGCCGCGUGCGGGAUGACGGCCUUCGGUUUGUAAACCGCUUUCGCCUGUGACGAAGCGUGAGUGACGGUAAUGGGUAAAGAAGCACCGGCUAACUACGUG